CGAAUCAAUAAAGUUAGCUAAAUGGAAACAAUGCUCGGAGAAAGAUUGUUUUAAUAUUAGUUUUAUUAGACUUGAUUUUUCCCAAGCUAACUGUUACUUAAUAAUUAAACAACCCCCCCCCUUAAUUCCCCCUUGGUUUAGUGUAUGCAAUAAAUUAAAACUAUUCAUUUUUACUUUGGUAGUAAAUUAAGGGGUGCACCCCCUAUAUUAUCAUACCCAG
RNAcentral lists this long non-coding RNA (220 nucleotides) under Mytilus galloprovincialis (Mediterranean mussel). The record is from RNAcentral. Lineage: Eukaryota; Metazoa; Mollusca; Bivalvia; Mytilida; Mytilidae.